AGCUCUCUUUUUUUAGGGCUUCCUUUUCCUUUUUUCCUGAGAAUUUUUUUAAGGGAGCAUAGUUUAUGUGGCUAUUUGUGUAGACAGUGUAGUAGUUGGGGGUGGUCUUUACUAGGACUCUCUAUUUUGGAAAAUAUAAAAAAUAUAUAUUUUCCCAACAUAGAGAUCGAUAUAUGUAUGGCCUGUGGAGUACUUUACUGGGUAUGUUAGUUCUGUUCCUUAUGUAUGGAAUGUUACACAUUAGCUUCAAGCAUGUAUCAUAUGUACGUGUACAUCUACAAAUAGAUAUCGUCAUGUUUGGAUCUUUGUUGCCAAAUUUUACCAUGAUUUCUGGUGUUUCUGGUGCAAGUUUUGGGAUGAGGGCACACAAUGAUAUGAUGUACAUGCUUUGUUGGGUUUCUCUUACUAAAAGUAAAGCUGUUGUAUAUAGGAUCGUUGGUUUACAGAAUGUCGACAAGAUUCAGAGGAAUCAGAGCAUGUUUCAAAGCAUUUUGGUCCCUUCUUUCUUUUUAUCCUUCAUUUUUAAAGUGAAUUGGCUAAUUAUGUCUGGAUUUAGUUUGUUUAGUAUGAAAAUCUAGAUUUUUGGACGGACGUAUAGGGAUGAGAAUUUUAUUGUGUUUUGUGUUGAAUGCAUCAACUAUGACGAGGCUUUCUUUCUUUCUUUCUUUGUUCCUUUUUUGAAAAAUCAUUAACUUAAAUGCAGUUUGUGAAGAUGGAAUAUAUAUCAAGUUCUUCCCAUUUUUUUUUUUGUGUGUGGGCACAGAUGGUUUUAGUCCUCACUCACCAAUCGCAAAGCGUACGCUUUGGUCUCUAGGGAAAAUAGUCCCCUGUUGGCCCUAUGUGACCUGGAGUUCAGGAAAGCAUUCUUGAUACUGAACUACACUGGGAGGAGGAAGCUGGAGGAGCACAUGAAGGUCGAUGACAUUAUGAUGCUUAAAGAUCUUCCAAUGAGGGAUUUUGAGACGAAAGUAUGGGAUGCCGUUGGUAAGGACUUCAUCAAUAAAGAGGACCGGAUACAGGAAUCCAAGCAAGCAUAGGCUUCUUCUCCAAACGACGCCUCCAAAUUAACGACACGACUCCUGUAGGUUGAACAACUUCGCCCUGAACAGGGUAGUUUACCCACCGUUCUCUCUCUCUCUCUCUAGUCUAACGAAUCUUGUUAGGCUCCCUCUUCUGCGUUUCUGCAUCCAUUUUUGGGGAGUGUGGUAUUUUUGCUUCACGGCCAUUUCAAAGGUUGGGAACUGGUCCAGAUGGCUUACGGAUCUAUUUGGCAUUCUGCAUUCAGGAUAGUGACUCAGCUGAGCUGAAUAUGAGACUAAUCAUGAUAACAACAGUGAAA
Molecule: RNA transcript, 1339 nt
Organism: Rhododendron vialii
Lineage: Eukaryota; Viridiplantae; Streptophyta; Magnoliopsida; Ericales; Ericaceae
Exons: 4
Source: RefSeq, a predicted model, not a curated record